This is a long non-coding RNA of Cyprinus carpio (common carp), 1489 nucleotides long. NCBI's taxonomy places the organism in Eukaryota, Metazoa, Chordata, Actinopteri, Cypriniformes, Cyprinidae. The record is from Ensembl.
AUGUCGACCCGAACGCCAUUGCCCACCGUUAACGAGCGCGACGCCGAGAAUAGUAUGGAAGUGAAAGUGAUGCAGGGAUCGAACAGAGCCAUCACCAUCAAACCAAACGUGAGUCGGGGUGUUUUAGAGCAUUCUUGCAGAUGCACAUUGGAAGGCUUUCACUUUUACAACAGUUGCAUAACAGUGGAAAGGCUGCGAGAGAAGGGAGUGCCUUUAAGGAGGCAAGUGUGUGUGUGUGUGUGUGUGUGUGUGUGUGUGUGUGUGUGCGGGGGGAUGUUUUUACGGAGCUCGUACCUUCCCGGAAUGUUUUUGUCCAGGCAGUUUGUUCAUUGUCAUGCUAAAGCAGGAAUGCCGAUGCUGCUGUGUCAUGAAAGUCUGGAAAACUGCAGCUGUUUCAUCUCAUCUGUGUUCUCUUCAGGGUUCACUAUUUAUCUGUGGCUUCUGAUCAGAUUUGAGCUGUGUUCUGAAACCAAGCCUGCGUUUUUUUGAGACGCAGUGCAGCAGAAUGGAUCUGAGUGCAGGUCUUUUUAAGAGUUUUAACUUCUUUUACGUGACAUGGUGACUUAAUGAAGUGCUCAUGGUGUGAGAUGAGUAACAACAGACAAGAUAAUGAUGAUCUUGAACCGAACUUAAUUGACUGAUGAGAGAUGAAUGAUGAUGCCGUGGCAAAUACAAUAUUAGGUCAAUAUAAUUGGAUAAAAUAUAUAAUUGGUGCUACUUGUAUUAGUGUUCAUAGUUAAUCACAUUGGGGUCAUCAUAAUUUGCAGAAAUGUUUUUAUAUAGGCUAGUUUUUUAAGGUUUUGGGAAGUCAAACCAAAUACCACUUGCAUUGCGAUUAAAAAGGUAAAAUUAUUUAAUUAAUUUAUUUCUGCUUUUGACUUAACCAUAUGACUUUUUUGGUAGACAAGUUCAUUUUCUUUUUAAAUAAGCAGUAAAGCAGUUAAAAUAUUAUAAUAUUAUUUGGUCUAAUUUAAAGGGGUCAUGUGAUAAUGUAGAGUCGAUUUUUACAAAGCUUAUCGUUCUAAAGAGCUUGGUGUGUUCUGAUUGGCCAGCUAUCCAGUUUGUUGUGAUUGGCUGAAUACCUCAAGCGUGUGACGCCCCUUACCAUAUUUGGAAACACACAGCGUCUCCACUACAUGGCCGCAGCGGCAACAAUACUACAGCGAGAAAUUUUCUCUCUUUGCGUUUACAUUUGGAUGGUGUUUUGCAAAUCUUUCAACACAGUGAUGUAGAUUUGUGGGGGCGUGUUUUAGGAAGGCGUGGUUCAGUCUUAACUUUUAGAAAGAAUAGACUAUUUCUUUGGGUUUGAGACUUUAAUCUUUGCGACUUUAUAGAUCUUCUAUAUGCAUGAACAGCUUGUAACCCUCCAAAGACAAAACGGAAAACAUGAAAUCGCGUCAUAUGACCCUUUAAUGAAAAUAGGAUGAAAGUGUAUAUAUUAGGGCUGUCAGUUUAACGCGUUAAUUAGUUAUGAAAAAGUAACGCAAUU